CGUGGGAGUCCCUUCGCUGCUCAGCAUGCUUGGUAGAGAACAUGAACUCAAGGGUGGUCAAACUGGGAGUGUCCAUGAUGCUUUGCCAAUAUCAAGGUGGAGAGGGCACCUGUAGUUGGAGCACAGAUGGCUCUUCUACUGGCUGCAGCUCAAGCCCCACCCCCUUUUCCAGCACAUAAACAUCCAGUCUCACUGAAUAUCCACCGGGAAGGGAGUUUUGCGCACACACGCUGGCAAAGACUAGCAACAUUGCUGAAAGGGAGCCUAAGAUUAGAGGAUCUUGGAGGAAAGUGACCAUGAACCUCAUCCCAAGCUUUUCCACAGAGACCUGGGUUCUACUGGCUACCAGCCUGGUGCUGCUCUAUCUAUAUGGGACCUCUACACAUAGACUUUUUAAAAAGCUGGGAAUCCCUGGGCCAACACCUCUGCCUUUUAUUGGAACUUUUCUGGGCUACCGUAAGGGUGUAUGGGAUUUUGACAAGAAAUGUUUUAAAAAGUAUGGAAAUAUCUGGGGGU
Long non-coding RNA from Hipposideros armiger (great roundleaf bat), 516 nucleotides. RefSeq lists it as uncharacterized. Lineage: Eukaryota; Metazoa; Chordata; Mammalia; Chiroptera; Hipposideridae. The transcript has 4 exons. The record is from RefSeq and is a predicted model, not a curated record.